This 252-nucleotide ribosomal RNA is filed under the name uncultured bacterium. Its description in RNAcentral is "partial 16S ribosomal RNA". It matches the Rfam family "Bacterial small subunit ribosomal RNA", at positions 524 to 776 of the family's 1533-position model. The record is from RNAcentral.
UACGUAGGGGGGCAAGCGUUUGUCCGGAAUCAUUGGGCGUAAAGAGCGUGUAGGCGGCUUGGUAAGUCCGCUGUGAAAGUCCAGGGCUCAACCCUGGAAAGCCGGUGGAAACUGUCAAGCUUGAGUCCGGAAGAGGCGAGUGGAAUUCCUGGUGUAGCGGUGAAAUGCGCAGAUAUCAGGAGGAACACCAGUGGCGAAGGCGGCUCACUGGCCCGUUACCGAGCUCAGGCGCGACACUGGGGAGCAAACAGG